Molecule: RNA transcript, 1677 nt
Organism: Myripristis murdjan (pinecone soldierfish)
Lineage: Eukaryota; Metazoa; Chordata; Actinopteri; Holocentriformes; Holocentridae
Gene name: cold-inducible RNA-binding protein B-like
Exons: 8
Source: RefSeq, a predicted model, not a curated record
AUUUCCUCGUGCAGUUCAGGCUUCCUGGUAGCUACCAAAAUGUAUUCAGUCCGCCAUUGUGGAAGCCGUGACGGAAACGGAUAACAGCCCUCUUCCUGUCGUCGCUCCAGCCUCAGGUAGUGUGCCGUCCAGUUUCAGCGGAGGUUCCCGUCGGUGAAAUCAAUCAUGUCUUCUGACGAGGGGAAGUUAUUUGUUGGUGGCCUCAGCUUCGACACCACUGAACAGUCUCUGGAGGAUGUGUUCUCCAAAUACGGUCAGAUAUCUGAAGUUGUUGUUAUCAAGGACAGGGAGACUCAGAGGUCCCGUGGCUUUGGUUUCGUCACCUUUGAGAAUCCAGAUGAAGCCAAGGAUGCCAUGAUUGCAUUGAAUGGCAAGUCUCUUGAUGGCAGGCAGAUCCGUGUGGACCAGGCCGGCAAGUCAGGCAGCGGCGGUCGUUCAGGCGGAGGUUACCGAGGAGGUUCAAGUGGAGGCGGAACAUAUUAUCCCAACUGGGGAAGAGGUGGUGGUGGAAGAGGAGGUGGCCGUGGCUAUUCACAAGGUCCGUCAAGAUUCGACAGCAGAAGUGGAAACUACCAGGACCGACCCUACUACAGCAGAGACAGAAACCCAGGAGGAUUUGGACCCCGCUCAGGAGGGGGUGGUGCUGUGGUCAUUGACGCCCAAUGAGGCCUCCUGUAGUUGAAAUAUGUUGGAAGAAACAAUAUGUUGAUGGCCCAGUUUAGCACUCUACUACAAUGGGGUUUCAAAGGUGAUGAUAGUGGUUGGUAGCCCGGCUUGGUGGAUCUCUGUUAUCCAGGCUACACCCUUACUACUCCCCUGAUCCGCAGCCCAUUCUGAUGACAGCAGACCUCGCUGGAAUUCAUAGCGGUGCAGAACCUACUGCACCUAAUGUUGAAAAAUCAUUAUGUUAAACCAUUUAUGUAGGUAAGAGCAGUCCUGGAUAAGUUCAGGCGAGGGCCGGCUUGCACGCCAAGCCGUCUUGGCUGGUCUUUUUCCAAGUUUUAUUUUUGAUGUAGCUUUUGUUUUCCAUCGAGUCUUCUCGUUUUGCAAUUGAUCUGAAGAGAACCCAUUUUGAUUUCUAUUACAAUAAGUGCACUUUGUCUCACUUGGAGAUCUGCAUACACAAAUUUAGACAGGGCCAUGCAGGAAGGGAAUGUAUAACUAGAAAAUGGAUACACCUUUUUUGAAUUUUGAAGUGUCUGUGUCCCGAAGGGUGGUUGAAUCUUAAGGAACGGUAACAUUGCUGUUUUUGUUAGCACAUUGUGUCAAGAGAAAGUUGGAUAAAAAGUAAACAGUUUAUAUUCUACAGAAUAAAUACAGUCAUUCUUCAAUGGAGCACAGGCCUUUCGGCUGAUUAUCUUAACCCUCCUCAAGCGAUUAAAAACAGUGCUUCCUUCUCAAGCCAUUUAGUUUCUACAGAGAUUUUGCUUAAUCGUCUGUACAUCAAGAGAUUGUACCUUUUGUUUCAAAAUUAGAUGCUACUCACAUUUUCAGCACUGUGACAGGUGACUGUAAAUCAGACCAAAUCUGUCCAAGUUUUCUCAGCAAGUGUUCGGAUAGUACAAAAGUUCUCCUCAUGUUAAUUUUGUAUUUUUUUUUUUGUUUGUUUGUUUUUGUUUUUUUUUUUUAAGCAUGCUAUAAUUUCAUGUUUGUAUUUUUCUGAAAUAAAAAAAUCAU